UGGGGAAUUUUGCACAAUGGGGGAAACCCUGAUGCAGCGACGCCGCGUGAUUUAGAAGGCCUUCGGGUUGUAAAAAUCUUUUCUAUGGGAAGAAAAUGACAGUACCAUAGGAAUAAGGACCGGCUAAUUACGUGCCAGCAGCCGCGGUAAUACGUAAGGUCCGAGCGUUGUCCGGAAUCAUUGGGCGUAAAGGGUACGUAGGCGGGUAAGCAAGUUAGAAGUGAAAUCCUAUAGCUCAACUAUAGUAAGCUUUUAAAGCUGCUCAUCUUGAGGUAUGGAAGGGAAAGUGGAAUUCCUAGUGUAGCGGUGAAAUGCGCAGAUAUUAGGAGGAAUACCGGUGGCGAAGGCGACUUUCUGACCAUAACCUGACGCUGAGGUACGAAAGCGUGGGUAGCAAACAGG
This 402-nucleotide ribosomal RNA is filed under the name bacterium. Its description in RNAcentral is "partial 16S ribosomal RNA". It matches the Rfam family "Bacterial small subunit ribosomal RNA", at positions 355 to 776 of the family's 1533-position model. The record is from RNAcentral.